Molecule: unclassified non-coding RNA, 301 nt
Filed under: uncultured Mortierella
Lineage: Eukaryota; Fungi; Mortierellomycota; Mortierellomycetes; Mortierellales; Mortierellaceae
Description: sequence contains ITS2
Source: RNAcentral
ACAACCUCAGCCAAGUUUUUUGUCGCUUCUGGCGCGGAAAGCAACAGCUGGAUUUGAGCAAAGUCCCUUGGGAUUUCAAUUCGACGACCUUCGGGGAGGCAAUUGAGCCGUGAGGGAUGCUUGAAAUACAGGUUCGGGCUGACCAACUGUCCUGGGCUACAAGCAUUUCAUACUUGAUCCCGUUAAACGGAUCAUUUCCAUUGCUGCAGCCAUCACAAACAGGAUCAAACGUGUCCAGUGUUUCCGACUGAUGCAGGAAGUUGGAGCCAACACAGAGCGAUCUGUGUAGGUUCUUUCUAAC